RNAcentral lists this non-coding RNA (274 nucleotides) under Clostridium sp. RNAcentral's name for it is "T-box sequence". It matches the Rfam family "T-box leader". From Rfam's summary of the family: Uncharged tRNA acts as the effector for transcription antitermination of genes in the T-box leader family. T-boxes are found upstream of many aminoacyl-tRNA synthetase genes and some amino acid biosynthetic genes usually in Gram-positive bacteria. The anticodon of a specific tRNA base pairs to a specifier sequence within the T-box motif, and the NCCA acceptor tail of the tRNA base pairs to a conserved bulge in the T-box antiterminator hairpin. The record is from RNAcentral. Lineage: Bacteria; Bacillati; Bacillota; Clostridia; Eubacteriales; Clostridiaceae.
AUAAAGGUGCUGAUGAAGAGGAGUACAUGAUCACUUCUGACAGAGAGAACCGCCCAUUGGCUGCAAGGUGGUUUCGGGUGAGGAUUGUGGAAGGUAGCUUCUGAACCGGAUAUCUGAACGAAGAAGUAGGGUAUCCCGGAGUUGUCCGCGUUACAGGACUUGAGAGAUGUCCGCACAGAGGUCUGGAAAUGACAGACCGCAGGCAGGAGAAGCCUGUCUGAAGAACACACAGGGACAUGAAAUUAAGGUGGUACCGCGUAUAUACGCCCUUUAC